RNAcentral lists this long non-coding RNA (905 nucleotides) under Numida meleagris (helmeted guineafowl). Its description in RNAcentral is "lncRNA (ENSNMEG00000022015.1)". The record is from RNAcentral. Lineage: Eukaryota; Metazoa; Chordata; Aves; Galliformes; Numididae.
CUGGCAUUUAAAAAAAAAAAUCACAUCUUUCUUUCGUAUAAAAAAGAUUAUGCGCUGCUACAUACCCUUUGCUCUUCACAUGUAAAAAAUAACUUGAACAAGCUCAGGCGAAAUCAUUUUCUGAAUGUGUAGAAUGCAGAACCCUAAACACAAAUAACAGCUUUAACUUGGCUUCUGCUUUUAAGCAAAGGUGUUCCUGCCUUGUUUUUCAGAAUUAGAGCCACCUGCUGUAAUGUAGAGGGAGCUACUGAGCAACAGCUGCUGGUAAAAAGGAGUAGAAAGAAGGUUAAACUAGUGAGAACUGUAGAAGUCUCAGUUAUAAGCUCCAAAACAGCAGUAUGGAUCAUGCAGGUCGGUGGUCUGUGCUCCAGCUGGCCUCCUUCUCUUCCUCUAACAUGAUAAGAGCCAUAUGGGAAGGAGAUUGUAUCUUGAUGAUCGGACCAAGUCUUUCAUCAUUCUCUAGCAUGCUUCCCUUACAACCAAGAUCCAGUGGUGCAUGGCCGGACCUUGACUGAGCACAAUAAUUAUGAAGAGUUAGCCUGGUGUUGUCUGAUAGUCCAGCUUUUACGAAAAGUGCUUGUCUUCUACAUUUAAUUUAAAAGUACUUUCAGAGGGAGGAGCCUGUGCUGCUUCAGAAGGUGCACCUCUGCUGAUUUACAGAGCUUUAAGAAUCAUCCAUACUCUGAUGGGUAAAAUUGGCAAAAUUUAAGUUUGUAGAUGUACUGUGCCAGGUGAAAAAUGAUAUCUGCAUUGUUAUAUAAGAUGUCCCCGAUAGCAAUGUAACUCCCACAGGAAAAACUGUAAGCUGUCAAGUAACUCAAGAGUGGUGAUGUAAGUUCUCCCUUUAAAUUAAUGAUACUGAGAUAUUGGAAAUAAAGAACUGUAGUUGGACUGGUGAAGUAGCA